AAACAGAAAACACGUUGAAUUUUCGGAU
Molecule: small RNA, 28 nt
Filed under: Bombyx mori (domestic silkworm)
Lineage: Eukaryota; Metazoa; Arthropoda; Insecta; Lepidoptera; Bombycidae
Description: ovarian small RNA-9916
Source: RNAcentral